AAGUCGUAACAAGGUUUCCGUAGGUGAACCUGCGGAAGGAUCAUUAUCGAAAAUCGCCACGAUCAGGCUGUGCGUCUCUCGCACGCCUCCUCGUGUGCACUUUCAACCCACACACCUGUGCACCCUCGGGACGGCCUCCUCGGAGGAAGCCCCGCUUUCUUUCACUCCACAUGUUCAGAAUGUAAAAUUUAGUGUGUAACACAUAACAACUUUCAACAACGGAUCUCUUGGCUCCC
Molecule: unclassified non-coding RNA, 236 nt
Filed under: air metagenome
Description: partial contains small subunit ribosomal RNA, internal transcribed spacer 1, and 5.8S ribosomal RNA
Rfam family: Eukaryotic small subunit ribosomal RNA (bases 1-46)
Source: RNAcentral